Molecule: long non-coding RNA, 7582 nt
Filed under: Triticum aestivum (bread wheat)
Lineage: Eukaryota; Viridiplantae; Streptophyta; Magnoliopsida; Poales; Poaceae
Description: long non-coding RNA (TAES_LNC003889)
Source: RNAcentral
UUGAAUCCACAAGGGGAUCUUCCCACGAGGGGGUCUUGAAUCCGAUAGGAUCUUCUCCGAAGAGGCCGCGGUCUCUCACGAGGAGGAGAUCCGAUGGAUGAGCGAAGCUCUAUCUCUAAUUUGAGCUAAAUCAACGCUAAACCUAACUAGGACGAGGUGGAGGAGUAUAUAUAGUCAUGGGCCACGAAGGGGUAAGUGAAGGGGUACAUGGGCUGCGGCCCAACACACUGUGCGCAGACAGGCGUCGGACGUCCGGAGGGUUCCGGUCGUCCGGAGGCUCGGGAAGGUCCGGACGUCCGAUGCUCUUCGGACUUCUGUAGAUUCGGCUCGGGUGCGCUUCGGUCGGACGUCCGGAGGGGGUCGGUCGUCCGGAGGCUCGCGGGGUCCCGGACGUCCGGAGUUCUUCGGAUGUCCGCAGAUUCGGUUCGGUGGUCGCUGGCACGGUCGUCCGGAGCCUGGGAGUCGUCGGACGUCCGGUCCUGGUCGGACGUCCGGCCGCUGUAGCUUCGGGCAGCUUCUUCUCUUGGUCCUUGUACUUGGUGUCCUCGCCGUCUUGUCCAUGGUCUUCCUCCUUGUUCCUGGUCAUGCAUAGCACAUAUAUAUGAGGUAGUAACCAUGUCUCACAUGUGGGAAGUGACGGUUCGGAAAGGAGCGAGUUCACCUUGUGUCCAAUGGCGUAUCGUUGAGGCCUCGUCAUAAGUCCUUUUGGGGUUUGGAGAGUAGUCGGAGUGUACAUGGGGAUGAACGUGGGAUGCUCCGCAUCAUCUCCCCCCCCCCUUGGGAAAGAUCCGACCUCGGAUCGUGAUCCUCAUCACCAUGGAAACGAUUGUCGUAGACGGACUUGUAGUUGGACGAAGUUGAAGACAUGGCGUAAUCCAAGUAGUCCAAGGUGUCGCCGGAGUGAUAGACAUGCAAAAAGAGCAAACACAAGCAACACUCGGAAAUAUAAUGGUUAGCGCACACAAAGUGUCCAUCAUGUAAGAAUGAGUCCGUGCGGCAAGAUUGGUCGUGACAAAGCACAUGAAGCUUAUCAAGAUGAUCUAGAAUGAGAUGCAAAGCAUUCAUGGGAGGAAGUGCAAUCAUUGUGCACACAAAUGUAUUGUAAAUAUGAUCAAUGCAACCACGGUGCAAAAUGAUGUCAUAGUGAGACGGUUUAUCAAUAGCAUGAAUAUGGCAAUGGAUGCUCAAUAUGAUUAUGUUCAUAUUGAGCAUCCAAAGUGGUCGGACCCUUCCCCAGACCCUGCGCAAGCGGGAGCUACAUGCACUGGGGCUGCCCCUUUAUGCUCAAUAUGAUUAUGUUAUCAUGCAAUUGAUGGUAGGCAAUAUGAUUACGAUGUAUGAAUAUGCCAUCAAGAAAGAUCACAACAAAUUUGCUAAGAAAAUGCGCAAGCUCGUAUAUCAUGGAUGAAUUGGGAAUAGGUGCAACAAGACAAUCAUAAUGUGUGUUAAUCCAUGCAUAGGGUGCAAAUUUGUCAUGGGUGUUGUUGUACCAUAGCUCAAUGUCGUGGCACUCCUCAACUUGAAGGUCCAUAGGGUCCAUCUCCAAUGCUGGUCCUCCAUCCAAUAUAUGUAUCAUGUAGACAAGAAGAAGGAAACAACAAUGAAAGAAUGACCCAUCCAAUAUGCAUAUGUGAGGAUGGCUCAAAGAGAAGGAGUUCACCUCAAGAAAGUUCCCAAAGAUGUUGGAGUUGUACAUCAUGUAUGCCUUCACAUAACCAAUAUGUCGCAUAACGGCACCGCCUUGUGAAUCCUCCAAAAUGAAAGAACAUGAUAAACACUCGGAAAAACAAAUGAGGUUAGUGCAAAUGCAACACCUAUCAUUCGUGUGGUAAGAUACCCAACAAGUGUAUGCAUCUUGCUCAUCAUAAGAAAGGAUAAGGGAGUAUUGCAUAGUAUGGAGGCAUAUGAUGCGAGAACAACCAAAUGCAAUAGGCUCAAUCAAACAAGCAUGCAUCACAAGUAAAGUGUCCAAGUCUCCAAGAUCAAUAAGCAUAGCAAGUUGGCACUCAAUACAAGGUGACAUGAGAGAUGCAACUAAUGGAGACAAGAGGCAAUGAUCAUGACAAAUCAAGUGAGAGGCAUCAACAUCUAUGUCAUCAACCCAAGAAAGUAAGUAAUAGUGGAACAUGGGUGAUGCAACAUAGCAAACAAUCAUAGCAAUCAAGUCAAGCAAGCUAGUAGUGUGAAGAUGCAACGUACUAGAAGGAAUCAUGGCAAGCAUGUCAUGUGUGCAAAUAGUGGGCAUGAGUAAUGGACUUGACAUAGCACAAGCAUGAAAGCAAGAUAUGAGUAAAGUGUCAUCAAUGUAUUGGCGAGAGACCAUAUGUAAAUAGCAAUGGGGCAUCAUGACUCUCCCAACACAACAAGCAUCAAUAACAUGGGGCACAUGAUAAACAUGGCAAUAGCAACAAGGAUCUCCACCAAGCAUGCAAAUACACAUAGAAGUAUCAUAAUGGUGAAUCAUGGGUAGAUGCAAGCAAGGGUCACAAUUGCAUGGCAAAUGCAUAGAAUCAAGUAUAACAUGCAAAGUGAACACGGGAAAAUGAGCAUAAGGUGACAAGUGGUAAAUAGCCCAUAGCCGUGUGAGAGACAAGUAAAAGAGAUGCGUGUAGUCCUUGCGCGAAGAGAACGGUGGUAAGGAUAGUCCACGGUAUCCCAAAGUGUCGUUGCUCUCAAGAGCUCGUUUCGUCAACUCUUGAGAUUGAGAGGUUGACGAGUAUAUGAGAGUACCUACACAAAACAAAGACAAAGGAAAAAUUGUGUGUGCAUGGUAUAUGUACACACCAUCCAUCAUGAUGCGCACAUGCAUGUGUCGGUUAGCACAAAAUAGCCAACGCUCAAAUAAAUGAGAUGCGCGAUAUAGAAACAUGUCAUCCAUCAUGAUAGGUUUGUUGUUAUGAAUGGCAUAAUGGAGACUCAAAGGAUGUAAUGCAUCAUGAGAAAUAUUUAGAGCAUUGUUAUUCAUGGAAUGCAUAUGGUGCACGCAAUUAUGGAAAUCAUGCAAAGUAUGAAAUGCAUCAAGGUCUCCUAAUAUGUAUGAGAAAACUAUGGGGGUCUCAUGAGCAUGAGUAGCAACAUCACAUGGAGAAUAUUGACAACAUCCAAAACAAUGCAUAUUUGGAACAAUGUGAUCAUGGCAUGACAUAGUAGAUGAAUUGCGCAAAUCAUGUAGAGGAAGCAUGGCAAUAUCAUCACAUGAAAAACAAAAGCCAAUGACCAUCAUCUCGUCAUCUAUGCCAUAAGUGCAAAUGGGAUUGAUUUUAAUGGGGCAUGCAUAGUUACUAUGUUGAGAUUGAAAUGAGGCAAUAUGGGAGAUCUCACUCAUAGCAUAUGACAAGUUCAAAGGAUUGUCAAACAUGAUGUGACCAAAAGAAUUUUCACAUGAUAUCCUAUGGAGCAUAGCAUCACAACUAGGCAACUCAACAUGCUCAUCAUCAUAUUCAUCAUAAAUAGGUAAGUCAAGGCAUGAAGAAGUCUCACUAGCAUGAAGCAUGGGAAUAGGUGGGUCAACAUCAUGGGAGCAAUCGAUGUCAAGAGAGUCCACUAGUGGGACAAGAUAAGCACCAUCACCUAUGUUACCUUUGGAGCGUCGCUCAUGUGUUGUAGGUGAGGUGUUGAAGAUCGUCUCGUUGUCAUCUUCAUCUUGAUGGAACCAUGUGGGGGGUGCAUCAUCGUCCACCAUGGCCAUCGGUUUUCCCAUUGGAGGGAUGGAUUCGUCAAGGGUAGGCAUGUCGUCAUGUAGGAGACCUAGCACCAAAGAAGAAAACACACUAGGAGUAGAGGUUAAGUCGUUAGAAAUCAUAGUGGCCUCACAUGCCGUGUCAACUACCUCACUCUCUAAGUGUUGUGGCUCACUCACUCCCUCAAGGAUGCUCUCACUCAUAUGGUUGGUGGAGUCACUAAAAUGGCCCUCAACCUCACCUAGGAUGUGUGGCAUGCUCUCAUGUGUGGGGCUAGUGGUGGUCACACUCAUCCUCUCAUAGGAAAUGCUCUCAAUGUCACGUAUGGUGGAGUCACUCAUGUCACUCAUGUGGUGGUGGCUCUCCUCAUAUGACAAAUGGGGCAUCUCGACAUAUGUGGGUGUCGGAGAGAUGUAGGUGCAAAUGUCUCCAUGUGCGGUCUCGUAGCUUGACUCGGAGUAGGAGUUCAAUAUGGGCGCCGUCUUGAUGUUGUUGAAGAGGUUCGCGCUCGUCGCCGUGGUCGAAGGGGAUGGCCCUUGCUCGACCGUCUUGUCACCGUCUUGGUGUGGGAGGCCCAUAUGAUGUGGCACCUCGUAGCUCGUCUCCAUGACCGAAGGGAGUUUCCCAUGCUCGGCCAUCUUCCUUGAGGGGCUUCCGAAGAUGGAAGUGUCGCCCUCGCUCGUAGGUAGUGUCGCCCUCGCUCGUAGGUAGUCGCCUUGGACUUGAUGAAGUCGUUGUAGGCGUACUCGUGGGAAGUAGGCAAAGAUGUCGUACGUCCAAAGGCGAAGAUGCCUUGAGAACACUUGGCGAAGAUGCCGAAGUGGUUGAUGUAGCCGUAGCGCCGUCUUGGUGGUGGUCGUCUCGCGGUCUUCUCUUGUGCUUAUGAAGCUUGGACUUGGCGUGAAGUAGGGCUUGUUGGGACUUGUGCACUUGCGCUUGUGGAGCAUUUUCAUGAUGAUGAUGUCGUUGUCGUGCUUGAGCUCGUUGGCAUUCGUCGUCGUCGUGCACAUGAUGCUUGGAGGUGACUUGCCCUUCAUGACGAUGUUGAUCACGAACGUGAUGGUGGUCGCCAUGUAGAUGUUGACUUGGACGACUUGCGCUUGCAUCUUGUUUGCGCUCCGAAGACUUGUGUCUUGAAUGUCGCCGUCUUGAAGAUGAUGAAGGGGAAGCAGACUUGAGCAAGGUUCGAAUCUCCUCCAUCCUUGCAUCUUGCUCCUCUUUAUGUGCGGCAAGCUUCUUGUCGAUGUAGUCCCUUCUCCUUGCUUCAGAGUGACGAAUGUCGAUGGAGAUGUUCUCGAUGCGCUCUCGCAAUCUUGAUUGUGCGCCUUGCACUUGUCGUUGUAGAUCGAAGAUAGACGCUUUGGUGAUGUAGUUGUUCACGCCGUCGUUGUUGUCGUAGACCGGAGAUGAAAUGCCUUGCCUAUCCAUCACAUGACUCGAGCAAAUAUGAGUGGGAGAAAGAGAAGAACUUAUACCAAUGUACCUUGACCGAUGUUGACAAUGAAUCAAGUUCACUCAAAUGCGGACAAUGAAAUAGCACUAUUGGUACCAAUUCUUGUCGGUUCUCACACCUACACAAGUAAAGCUUAUAGUGGAGCUCGGUGAGGAUAGUGGCACAAAAAUUUAAUGCAAAAUGUUAGCAAGAGUCAAUAAUGUUGAAAGAGAUUCACAAAUUCGCAAGUGAAACAAAUGGACCAAUAGCAAAGAAUGGCACACGGAAACACACACACGGAUAGAUAAAUGGGGUCGUGCAACCAAGGAAUGAGCACAAAAUGUGGAAUCCACGGAAAACGCUCGUGUUGCACAACUCAAGAGAGACGCUAGCACGAUUGCUCAAUAGGCGGAUACGACACUUGUGCACAACCUAUAAGAUGCAAGAUGGAUAAACUUUUUAUCCCAAGUAUGCUAUAUAUGUAUGGUUCCCGGUGUUACUCUCAAGAUGAUCCAAGAUGAUCGGAUAUGACAAUCUUAUAUGCAAUGUGUUAUGAUGCUAUGGCACUUGCUUACAAGCUUCUUUGCUCUCUUUCUUUUGCUUAAAAGCUUUAUUUCUCUUUUUUUUUCUAUGGCCACUUUUGCACAAUGCACAAACUAAGAUAGCAAUUGUGUAUAUGCGGGAACAAACUUGAGACACAAUGGAUGAUAUGAUACCAAGAUGAUAUGGUAUGUAUGCAAUGGAUGAUGUAGAUCACUAAUGUGCACAAGUAACGUUGCCGGCAAUACUCAAAUGGCUAGUCUCGAUAGGCAAGUAACGCAAAAUGGGCUAGGGGUUAACAAUGCAAUGGCAAGGGGAAUAUACAAUGGUGUCGUCGAGGUUACCGUCCUUUGCGAUGAUGAGUGGCGGUGUUCUUGAUGUAGAUACCAAGAUGAUGGAGACUCGUCCCUAAGUAGCCGAAACACCUUAGGAAACGGAAAAACCGCGAACUCAAAAUCUCAAAUGACCAAUGUCAAAUGGUGGUAGCGGAAAGCGGUGGUGGUUUUGCACUAGGCAAAUGCGGAAGUGGAAUGAUGGAUAUACACGUGUCCGAAUUGAAGUUGCCGUCCCUAAGUAGCCGAAACACCUUAGGAGACACAAGCCACAACUCAAACAAGCUCAAACAACUAUUGGGUUAAGUUGGGGGUGGCGGAAGUGUAUGGUGGGCACGCCUAUGCGGAAAUGGUGGUGGUGGUUGAUGAAGAAGCAAUCGUCCCUAAGUAGCCGAAACACCUUAGGAGACUCAAAGCACUACUCAAGCAACCACUAAUGCUAUAUGGAACAAAAUGGGUUAGGUUGCGGAAGUCGGUGGUGGCUAUGCGGAUGAUAUGGUGGAGGACCUAGGCAAACUUGCCAAAUUUUCGAAAAUUUGAUGGAGUCAAAUGGUGUUGGUGGUAUUUUUGUGGGAAGGGGGAUGUCAAGAGCUUCAAAACGAGCUAAAGAACGUCAAAAUCGGAGUUCGGAUGAAUUAGUUAUGGGCAAAACAAAAAUCAGCCGAAGUCUGAAACUACAGGUUACGGACGUCCGGAAAGGUCGGAUGUCCGGGGCGUCGGACGUCCGGAAAAGUCGGAAAUCCGUAAAUUUGGUUCGGGUUAGGUGUUCCGGUCGUCCGGAAAAGGUCGGACGUCCGGUCGUUCCUAUGGCUCCGGACGUCCGUAAAACUCCGGUCGUCCGGUGAGUCGGGGUCAACGCGAGAUGCGAGUUCCGGGCGCGAUUUUGGGCGGAAAAUGGAGAUUUCGGGGUCAAAAUUGACGAGAUUUCGUGGAUGAAAGAUGGGGAAACUUGGGGAGAUGCUAGAUCCACUUGAAACCAAGCAAAUCCACGGAUCAAAAUCAACAAAACAUCAUCAAACCAACAAAUCACAAAAAUUUUGGAGGCUAUUUUUGGUGGGGAUUUUCAGAUUUAGGACGAAAUCAACAAAAUCAAGCUAGAAAACAAAGGGUAGGGGCUCCAAAAACGUGAUCAACGUGGCUCAUGAUACCAAGAUGAUGUAGGGUGGAACCCUAGGUGGACGAUCUUUCACGUUUGGAGGGGAUCCUACGGGGAUUCACGAAGAACGCGCGGAAGAACACGAGGAAAUCACGGGGAGGAACGAGGGAAAACACUCAACCAACAAGGAAUCGGUCACACAAGUGCUAGAUCAAAGAACACAAAGAGAUACACGAGAUCCAAAGUCAACAAAGGUAAGGAUACAAAGAUAACCGAUCUUCUCCGUGAGGAGGUCUUGAAUCCACAAGGGGAUCUUCCCACGAGGGGGUCUUGAAUCCGAUAGGAUCUUCUCCGAAGAGGCCGCGGUCUCUCACGAGGAGGAGAUCCGAUGGAUGAGCAAAGCUCUAUCUCUAACUUGAGCUAAAUCAACGCUAAACCUAACUAGGACGAGGUGGAGGAGUAUAUAUAGUCAUGGGCCACGAAGGGGUAAGUGAAGGGGUAC